GUCUUAAUUAGUAAGUAAAAUUAAUUUCAUUUUUCUUGUUUUUGUUUCCAAUUGAAUUUUGAUAAAUAUAUAAAUUUUUAAUUAAUAUCAACAUUUAGAUCAUUAGUUGUGGUGAUUUUAAUUUGCUAUAGGAUUUGUUAAGAAUUCGUUUAGGAUUCAACUAAAGUUUAGGAUUUCAUUAAGAAUUUUAUUAGGAUUAUAUCUAAGAUUUGAUUAGGAUUUUUUUAGGAUUUUAUUAGGAUUAGUCUAGGAUUAGGAUUUAGAAUAUGAUAAGGAUUUGAUUAGAAUUUGAUUAAGAUUUGAUUAGGAUUUAAUUAUGAUUUGAUUAGAAUUUAGGAUUUGAUUAGGAUUUGGAUAGGAUUUCAAUAGGAUUUUAUUAGAAUUUGAUUAAGAUUUAAUUAGGAUUUUUAUUUUUGAUAUUUUUUUAAUAUUUCUUUAUUUUAUAUAUAAUUUAUUAAGGUUAAUUUAUGAUUUCUU
RNAcentral lists this long non-coding RNA (477 nucleotides) under Physcomitrium patens. RNAcentral describes it as "long non-coding RNA (PPAT_LNC008224)". Lineage: Eukaryota; Viridiplantae; Streptophyta; Bryopsida; Funariales; Funariaceae. The record is from RNAcentral.